Molecule: long non-coding RNA, 311 nt
Filed under: Lathyrus oleraceus (garden pea)
Lineage: Eukaryota; Viridiplantae; Streptophyta; Magnoliopsida; Fabales; Fabaceae
Description: Pisum sativum (pea) long non-coding RNA (PSAT_LNC035060)
Source: RNAcentral
UUAGUUGAAAUUGAGGUCAGGUUCGUGCUCUAUGCCAUUUUUUCUUUCAGAUCAUGUGCUCCUUUUUUAUUUUGGUGAUGGUUGAGGGUGGACCAGUCCGAUGAGGUCCACCGAAGAAGAAGACCGGAGCUCUGGCUCCGGCGGUGCGUUCGCACGUCUCCCAGCCACAGGAUCCAUUCAAAACGUUUUAAUCUUGAGCAUACAUGCUGAUUACCACGCGUGUGAUCAGUUGACUCGAGUGCAUGGUGGAUUGCGCACGCUCAGCCACUUGAUAUGCCACCUCAAUUAAUGAGGGAGAUUAAGUGGCUCAC